This 248-nucleotide ribosomal RNA is filed under the name uncultured Gardnerella sp. RNAcentral's name for it is "partial 16S ribosomal RNA". It matches the Rfam family "Bacterial small subunit ribosomal RNA", at positions 107 to 355 of the family's 1533-position model. Lineage: Bacteria; Bacillati; Actinomycetota; Actinomycetes; Bifidobacteriales; Bifidobacteriaceae. The record is from RNAcentral.
UAGAGUAAUGCGUGACCAACCUGCCCCAUGCUCCAGAAUAGCUCUUGGAAACGGGUGGUAAUGCUGGAUGCUCCAACUUGACGCAUGUCUUGUUGGGAAAGUGUUUAGUGGCAUGGGAUGUGGUCGCGUCCCAUCAGCUUGUAGGCGGGGUAAUGGCCCACCUAGGCUUCGACGGGUAGCCGGCCUGAGAGGGCGGACGGCCACAUUGGGACUGAGAUACGGCCCAGACUCCACGGGAGGCAGCAGCC